This 72-nucleotide transfer RNA is filed under the name Benthodytes marianensis. Its description in RNAcentral is "tRNA-Leu". It matches the Rfam family "tRNA". Rfam says of the family: Transfer RNA (tRNA) molecules are approximately 80 nucleotides in length. Their secondary structure includes four short double-helical elements and three loops (D, anti-codon, and T loops). The record is from RNAcentral. Lineage: Eukaryota; Metazoa; Echinodermata; Holothuroidea; Elasipodida; Psychropotidae.
GCCUUUAUAGCAAAAUGGUUAAUGCAAGGGGUCUAAGACCCCUUAAUAUAAGUUCAAUUCUUAUUUAAGGUU